AGUAAAAGAAGAGAGCAUAUCAGUACAUAGCUAGCACCGUAUCUUGUGAUGGCCGUCAGUACAACAAGUGCAUGCUUUGUAUGCUUGGCAGCCCUUAUGGUGGUGAUGGCCACUGUGAUGUUGUCCUGUGAUGCUGAUCCAAAGGAAUGGUGUGAAGGGCUUGAAGAUGGAUGCACCGAAUCCAAGUGCAAGGGUUGGUGUGCAAGCAGGGGUUACACCAAGCAAUUUCAUUGCCGGGACACUGACGAUUGUUGUUGUAGGAGGACUGCCACCAAGCCCAUGGUGGACGUUGUCCGUGGUCGUCAUUGAGCCCUUGCGAACGUUCUUUUUUUUAUUAGAUAUCUAUAACUAUAUUUAUACCUACUAAUAAAGCAAGGAUAAUUUAUAUCCAUACGUCAUGGAAAUUGUUCCUAAAGUGACAUAAAUUACGCACCAUGCCACUCGUACGUCAAAAACCGAUUUAAUUUUUUCUUAAAAGUUACCGUCCGGUGUGCAUGCUUAUUUGGUCCUAUGCCAUAUUAUAUCAACAGUCAAGCUUUAGCCGGA
Molecule: long non-coding RNA, 546 nt
Organism: Hordeum vulgare subsp. vulgare (domesticated barley)
Lineage: Eukaryota; Viridiplantae; Streptophyta; Magnoliopsida; Poales; Poaceae
Exons: 2
Source: RefSeq, a predicted model, not a curated record